UACGUAGGGGGCUAGCGUUAUCCGGAAUUACUGGGCGUAAAGGGUGCGUAGGUGGUUUCUUAAGUCAGAGGUGAAAGGCUACGGCUCACCCGUAGUAAGCCUUUGAAACUGGGGAACUUGAGUGCAGGAGAGGAGAGUGGAAUUCCUAGUGUAGCGGUGAAAUGCGUAGAUAUUAGGAGGAACACCAGUUGCGAAGGCGGCUCUCUGGACUGUAACUGACACUGAGGCACGAAAGCGUGGGGAGCAAACAGG
RNAcentral lists this ribosomal RNA (252 nucleotides) under uncultured bacterium. Its description in RNAcentral is "partial 16S ribosomal RNA". It matches the Rfam family "Bacterial small subunit ribosomal RNA", at positions 524 to 776 of the family's 1533-position model. The record is from RNAcentral.